This 482-nucleotide ribosomal RNA is filed under the name uncultured bacterium. RNAcentral describes it as "partial 16S ribosomal RNA". It matches the Rfam family "Bacterial small subunit ribosomal RNA", at positions 30 to 507 of the family's 1533-position model. The record is from RNAcentral.
AUUGAACGCUGGCGGCAUGCUUUACACAUGCAAGUCGAACGGUAACAGGCCGCAAGGUUCUGACGAGUGGCGAACGGGUGAGUAAUGCAUCGGAACGUGCCCAGUCGUGGGGGAUAACUACUCGUAAGAGUAGCUAAUACCGCAUACGAUCUAUGGAUGAAAGCGGGGGACCGUAAGGCCUCGCGCGAUUGGAGCGGCCGAUGUCAGAUUAGGUAGUUGGUGGGGUAAAGGCUCACCAAGCCAACGAUCUGUAGCUGGUCUGAGAGGACGACCAGCCACACUGGGACUGAGACACGGCCCAGACUCCUACGGGAGGCAGCAGUGGGGAAUUUUGGACAAUGGGCGCAAGCCUGAUCCAGCAAUGCCGCGUGCAGGAAGAAGGCCUUCGGGUUGUAAACUGCUUUUGUACGGAACGAAACGGCUCUGGUUAAUACCCGGGGCUAAUGACGGUACCGUAAGAAUAAGCACCGGCUAACUACGUG